UACAGGGGGUGCAACCGUUGUUCGGAAUUACUGGGCGUAAAGGGCUCGUAGGCGGCCAACUAAGUCGGACGUGAAAUCCCUCGGCUUAACCGGGGAACUGCGUCCGAUACUGGAUGGCUUGAGUUCGGGAGAGGGAUGCGGAAUUCCAGGUGUAGCGGUGAAAUGCGUAGAUAUCUGGAGGAACACCGGUGGCGAAGGCGGCAUCCUGGACCGACACUGACGCUGAGGAGCGAAAGCCAGGGGAGCAAACGGG
RNAcentral lists this ribosomal RNA (253 nucleotides) under uncultured bacterium. Its description in RNAcentral is "partial 16S ribosomal RNA". It matches the Rfam family "Bacterial small subunit ribosomal RNA", at positions 524 to 776 of the family's 1533-position model. The record is from RNAcentral.